UAAAAAACAAAGAAGAAGAAGAAGAAGAAAAAGAAGAGAAAGAAAAAGAGAGAGAAAAAAAGAAAAUGAUUCUUAAAAAUUAUACAUAAUCUCAAACAUGUGACUAGAGAUCGCGAGCUUAAUUGUUCUCUCCUUUGCAUAUAAUACGCGUGCACGUUUGCUUAAUCAUUCGGCCGAGUCCAAGGAGCUUGGUUCUUUGCAUCAACGAUGAAUAGAGCCAAUUAAGAGCCACUGUCGGAAUUGUAAACAGGAUGUCCGAUACAUUCUAGGAGGUUCGUGAAUGGACGUAAAUUUUCGGUAAUCAAGAAAGUGUCGUACCGUAAGGUUCGAUUCAGGCUUUGCAAAUGAUUGCGGCCGACGUGUAAGUGCUUCACUAACGGUGGUAACGAGCCUGGCACCAUUUCUGAAAUUGCAUUUCCGGCCAGAAGAAGAUGUUGUAAUGUCGGAUUGUACUGAAAAUCAUAGUGCGUGAGAGCGAGCGAGCAAACGAACAAGAGAGAGAGAGAGAGGAGGAGAGAGAGAGAGAGAAGGAAGGAAAAAGAAAAUGAUUCUUAAAAAUUAUACAUAAUCUCAAACAUGUGACUAGAGAUCGCGAGCUUAAUUGUUCUCUCCUUUGCAUAUAAUACGCGUGCACGUUUGCUUAAUCAUUCGGCCGAGUCCAAGGAGCUUGGUUCUUUGCAUCAACGAUGAAUAGAGCCAAUUAAGAGCCACUGUCGGAAUUGUAAACAGGAUGUCCGAUACAUUCUAGGAGGUUCGUGAAUGGACGUAAAUUUUCGGUAAUCAAGAAAGUGUCGUACCGUAAGGUUCGAUUCAGGCUUUGCAAAUGAUUGCGGCCGACGUGUAAGUGCUUCACUAACGGUGGUAACGAGCCUGGCACCAUUUCUGAAAUUGCAUUUCCGGCCAGAAGAAGAUGUUGUAAUGUCGGAUUGUACUGAAAAUCAUAGGUAAAAAAAAAUGCAUUUUGAGAAUACAUAUAUUAGAAGGAU
Apis florea (little honeybee) is the source of this 986-nucleotide long non-coding RNA. The record is from RefSeq and is a predicted model, not a curated record. Lineage: Eukaryota; Metazoa; Arthropoda; Insecta; Hymenoptera; Apidae.